GGGCGCAUAGCUCAGGGGAAGAGUACUUGCUUGACGCGCAAGUGGUCGGUGGUUCGAAACCACCUGCGCCCACCA
This 75-nucleotide transfer RNA is filed under the name Desulfurella acetivorans. RNAcentral describes it as "tRNA-Val". It matches the Rfam family "tRNA". From Rfam's summary of the family: Transfer RNA (tRNA) molecules are approximately 80 nucleotides in length. Their secondary structure includes four short double-helical elements and three loops (D, anti-codon, and T loops). Further hydrogen bonds mediate the characteristic L-shaped molecular structure. tRNAs have two regions of fundamental functional importance: the anti-codon, which is responsible for specific mRNA codon recognition, and the 3' end, to which the tRNAs corresponding amino acid is attached (by aminoacyl-tRNA synthetases). tRNAs cope with the degeneracy of the genetic code in two manners: having more than one tRNA (with a specific anti-codon) for a particular amino acid; and 'wobble' base-pairing, i.e. permitting non-standard base-pairing at the 3rd anti-codon position. The record is from RNAcentral. Lineage: Bacteria; Pseudomonadati; Campylobacterota; Desulfurellia; Desulfurellales; Desulfurellaceae. RNAcentral also lists the same sequence under 3 other names.